CUUUGUGGCCAUACCACCCUGACUGUGCCUGAUUUGUCUGAUCUUGGAAGCUAAGCAGGGUCAGGCCUCGUUAGUACUUGGAUGGGAGGACGUUCAUGGUAAGAAGGUACAACCU
RNAcentral lists this ribosomal RNA (115 nucleotides) under Piliocolobus tephrosceles (Ugandan red Colobus). The record is from RNAcentral. Lineage: Eukaryota; Metazoa; Chordata; Mammalia; Primates; Cercopithecidae.